This 254-nucleotide ribosomal RNA is filed under the name uncultured bacterium. RNAcentral's name for it is "partial 16S ribosomal RNA". It matches the Rfam family "Bacterial small subunit ribosomal RNA", at positions 524 to 776 of the family's 1533-position model. The record is from RNAcentral.
UACGUAGGGUGCGAGCGUUAAUCGGAAUUACGGGGCGUAAAGCGUGCGCAGGCGGUCUGUUAAGACCGAUGUGAAAUCCCCGGGCUUAACCUGGGAACUGCAUUGGUGACUGGCAGGCUUUGAGUGUGGCAGAGGGAGGUAGAAUUCCACGUGUAGCAGUGAAAUGCGUAGAGAUGUGGAGGAAUACCGAUGGCGAAGGCAGCCUCCUGGGCCAACACUGACGCUCAUGCACGAAAGCGUGGGGAGCAAACAGG